GCGGACGUGGCGAAACUGGUAGACGCAAGGCACUUAAAAUGCCUCGCCAGAGAUGGUGUGCGGGUUCGAUCCCCGCCGUCCGCACCA
RNAcentral lists this transfer RNA (87 nucleotides) under Allobosea sp. RNAcentral describes it as "tRNA-Leu". It matches the Rfam family "tRNA". Rfam says of the family: Transfer RNA (tRNA) molecules are approximately 80 nucleotides in length. Their secondary structure includes four short double-helical elements and three loops (D, anti-codon, and T loops). Further hydrogen bonds mediate the characteristic L-shaped molecular structure. tRNAs have two regions of fundamental functional importance: the anti-codon, which is responsible for specific mRNA codon recognition, and the 3' end, to which the tRNAs corresponding amino acid is attached (by aminoacyl-tRNA synthetases). tRNAs cope with the degeneracy of the genetic code in two manners: having more than one tRNA (with a specific anti-codon) for a particular amino acid; and 'wobble' base-pairing, i.e. permitting non-standard base-pairing at the 3rd anti-codon position. Lineage: Bacteria; Pseudomonadati; Pseudomonadota; Alphaproteobacteria; Hyphomicrobiales; Alloboseaceae. RNAcentral also lists the same sequence under 3 other names. The record is from RNAcentral.